CUGACAUAAUCAAAAGUGGUGAUCUGAGCCAAUUACAAUCCUUUCCUAUAUGAAAGCAUUGGAUUAGCUGAGAUUGUGAAAGAGGCAGAGCCAGCACAAGCCAAACACAGCCCUUGCCAAUAAGCAUCUCCUCAUAGAGAUGCAUUGAAUCAAUGCAUCUCUAUGAGAAAUGUUCAGUGUCUCCAAGCAGAGGGUGGAUACACUGAAUGUCAGUGCAGUGCUCACAUCUGAG
Pelobates cultripes (western spadefoot toad) is the source of this 232-nucleotide non-coding RNA. Lineage: Eukaryota; Metazoa; Chordata; Amphibia; Anura; Pelobatidae. The record is from the annotation of a GenBank genome assembly.